This 252-nucleotide ribosomal RNA is filed under the name uncultured bacterium. Its description in RNAcentral is "partial 16S ribosomal RNA". It matches the Rfam family "Bacterial small subunit ribosomal RNA", at positions 524 to 776 of the family's 1533-position model. The record is from RNAcentral.
UACGGAGGAUCCAAGCGUUAUCCGGAUUAUUGGGUUUAAAGGGUGCGUAGGCGGCCUGUUAAGUCAGGGGUGAAAGACGGUGGCUCAACCAUCGCAGUGCCCUUGAUACUGAUGGGCUUGAAUACACCUGAGGUAGGCGGAAUGUGACAAGUAGCGGUGAAAUGCAUAGAUAUGUCACAGAACACCAAUUGCGAAGGCAGCUUACUAUGGUUUAUUGACACUGAGGCACGAAAGCCGUGGGGAUCAAACAGG